This 1272-nucleotide long non-coding RNA is filed under the name Anser cygnoides (Swan goose). RNAcentral's name for it is "lncRNA (ENSACDG00005017174.1)". The record is from RNAcentral. Lineage: Eukaryota; Metazoa; Chordata; Aves; Anseriformes; Anatidae.
GGGGCCCCCCCCCCCCCCCCCCCGGACCCUGCCCCUCUGUGCCCCGCUGCUCGCAGCUUGCAGGGAGCCUGACCGUGCGUGGCGUGGCGCCUUGCACAACUCCUUGCACAACUCCUCGGGCUGCACCUUGCACAAUGCAUCGCGCUGCAGGGCCUCUGCGUGGCACUUCGCAUUGCAGCGGCGCUUUGCAGAGCGCCUUGCACAGCACCUUGCACGGCAGGGCCUUUGCACGGAGCCUUGCAUGGCACCUUGCACAGCACCGGCGUCUUGCACAGCACCUUGCACAGCAGGGCCUUUGCACGGAGCCUUGUAUGGCACCUUGCACAGCACCGGCAUCUUGCACAGCACCUUGCGCAGCAGGGCCUUUGCACGGCACCUUGUAUGGCACCUUGCACAGCACCUUGCUCAGCGCUGGCAUCUUGCACAGCACCUUGCACAGCACCGGCAUCUUGCAGACACCUUGCACAGCAGAGCCUUUGCACAGUGCCUUGCACAGCACCUUGAACAGGGCCUUUGCACGGUGCCUUGCACGGCAACUUGCUCAGCACUGGCACCUUGCACAGCACCGGCAUCUUGCAGACACCUUGCACAGCAGGGCCUUUGCACAACACCUCGCACAACGCCUUGAACGGGGCCUUUGCACAGUGCCUCGUACUGCAGAGCACUUCACAGAGCACCUUGCAGAGCACCUUGCACAGCAGGGCCUUUGCGUGGCACUUGCACAACACCUUGCACGGCCCUGACACCUUGCACAGCCCUGGCACCUUGCACAGCACCGGCACCUUGCACAGCCCUGGCACCUUGCACAGCACCGACACCUUGCACAGCACCAGCACCUUGCACAGCACCGGCACCUUGCACAGCACCGACACCUUGCACAGCACCAGCACCUUGCACAGCGUUUUGCACAGCGGGGCCUUUGCACAGCGCCUCGCACAACUCCCUGAACAACGGGGCUGUUGCGUGGCACCUGCCGUAGCAGGGUGUUUGCACAACCCCUUGCACAGCACCUUGCACGGCACCGGCACUUGGCAGAGCACCUUGCACAGUGGCAGCACCUUGCAUGGCACGGCCUUUGCACAGCACCUUGCACCGACACCUUGCACAGCGGCAGCACCUCGCGCAGCACCUUGCACAGCAGCUUACCUGGCACAGGGCCUUUGCACGGCACCUUGCGCCAACACCUUGCACAGCUCCUUGCACAGCACCAGCACCUUGCACUGCACCUUGCGCGGCUGGAUGGGGAUGAGGGGGGCCUGUUGGAGCCCCCCG